AAAAAAACACUGUGACAAUGGCACACACCUCUACUAAUUUAGGUAAAACAAGCAGCUAAACCCGCGCGAUGCCGCGGGUUACAAAACAUCUCUGAUCAACAUUGAAUGGGGUUGAUAAUGCCAAAAUAGCCCCUUGAAUAUGUAACAAAGGUGAUGUCCAUCAAGCCUUUGAAAAGAUGCAGUAUACUGCAUAAACAUGGAGUAAUGAGUGACUACAAAUCUGUCAAUUUUGGAUUAAGGCCUUUUUUUCAUAUAAUGCACGGUAAUGAACAAACAACACCUCUAUUCCUAUUUUGGAUUAAGACAUUCAUUCAGAUUACAAAGUGCUGCUUCCGCUUAAAGCUUUCUCUCCUCCCUCGUUUCUAUGACUAAAGAACUUUCACGCCCAUGCAUUAUUUUUUCUGGUUCUGCAGGUUUAUGGGAAUUGGGAUAUGCAAUGGCCUCCGGACUCUCUAAAUUUCCUCUAAAAAAACAAUAACAAAAUUUUUAAAAAAAAAAAACUUAAAUAUUUUCCCUCUCUUCCUCUCCCACUUCGUCUUCCUUCUGCCCGAUGAAAACCAGAAGCACAGUGCUUCCCAAAAUUCCAGUUGUUUCACUCCUGUCUUCCCCAAAUUUACAGGUGUGUUUUAAUUUUCUGUAAUCUGAUUAGAAAUUAUUAAAGAUGAUUACAUGAACCACCGAAUUCACCACCAAAUUUCAACAAAGAAGUUACAAAGCACAAAAAAACAAAAAAAAACAAAAACAAAAACAAAAAAAAUUCAAAUAUUUGGCUUUUGGGUAGUUGAGAAGAAGUGAGAUUUAAUUACCUGUCAAAGGCUAAAUUGGGAGCACGAUGGCCCGGCGAGGAGAUUGAACAGAUGAGGAAGCAAAGAUCGAACAGAUCUCACGAAGCGGAAUUGAAAUCGCCAAUCGAUUUCUGGGUUAAAAUAAACCAGAAGGGUCCGGAAGAGUGAAAACAAAAAGAAGGGAGCAAGAUGACCAACACGUGUGAAACAUGGCACAAGUGAAAUUAAACAAAUCAAGCAGUGU
Molecule: long non-coding RNA, 1029 nt
Filed under: Malus domestica (apple)
Lineage: Eukaryota; Viridiplantae; Streptophyta; Magnoliopsida; Rosales; Rosaceae
Description: long non-coding RNA (MDOM_LNC003647)
Source: RNAcentral